RNAcentral lists this small nucleolar RNA (206 nucleotides) under Naumovozyma dairenensis CBS 421. RNAcentral describes it as "Small nucleolar RNA snR43". It matches the Rfam family "Small nucleolar RNA snR43". Lineage: Eukaryota; Fungi; Ascomycota; Saccharomycetes; Saccharomycetales; Saccharomycetaceae. The record is from Rfam by way of RNAcentral.
AACUCCUGUUUCUGCCUCAUCUUCUUUUGCUUCAAUAGAUUAAUGGGUCUUGCUAUGGAGAAUAUAAAGGUGGGGAACGACUUCAUUACACAUUUUGAUACAACCGUAAUUUAGUUUUUGCCCAUAUCGUGAAAUAGUAUCAUCCAACCCAUUUUUUCAUGCCUUUUGGCAUCUUGAUAUUUGGGAUUUGAUACUACUCUACAACU